This 60-nucleotide non-coding RNA is filed under the name Pandoraea thiooxydans. RNAcentral's name for it is "Burkholderia sp. ATSB16 Betaproteobacteria toxic small RNA". It matches the Rfam family "Betaproteobacteria toxic small RNA". Rfam says of the family: Overexpression in amino aid rich medium attenuates growth, suggesting role in repressing amino acid intake and metabolism. Lineage: Bacteria; Pseudomonadati; Pseudomonadota; Betaproteobacteria; Burkholderiales; Burkholderiaceae. The record is from Rfam by way of RNAcentral.
UGUCUCCUCCAUGUCUCCUCCUGAUAUGGAUUUAAGCCCGCCAAGCGCGGGCUUUUUUUU